CCCGCACAAACGGUGGAGUAUGUGGUUUAAUUCGAUGCAACGCGAAGAACCUUACCUGGUCUUGACAUCCCGGAGACCCUUAGGAAACUAGGGGUGCUUCCAUCUGGAAGAAUCUGGAGACAGGUGCUGCAUGGCUGUCGUCAGCUCGUGUCGUGAGAUGUUGGGUUAAGUCCCGCAACGAGCGCAACCCUUGCCUUUAGUUGCCAGCAGUUCGGCUGGGCACUCUAAAGGGACUGCCGGUGUUAAACCGGAGGAAGUGGGGAUGACGUCAAGUCCUCAUGGCCUUUAUGACCAGGGCUACACACGUACUACAAUGGCCGAUACAAAGGGCAGCGACACUGCGAGGUGAAGCCAAUCCCGUAAAAUCGGUCUCAGUCCGGAUUGGAGUCUGCAACUCGACUCCAUGAAGUUGGAAUCGCUAGUAAUCGUGGAUCAGCAUGCCACGGUGAAUACGUUCCCGGGCCUU
Molecule: ribosomal RNA, 466 nt
Filed under: uncultured Desulfobulbus sp.
Lineage: Bacteria; Pseudomonadati; Thermodesulfobacteriota; Desulfobulbia; Desulfobulbales; Desulfobulbaceae
Description: bacterial SSU rRNA
Rfam family: Bacterial small subunit ribosomal RNA
Source: RNAcentral